GGCGAACGGGUGAGUGACACGUGAGUAACCUGCCCUUGACUUUGGGAUAACUUCAGGAAACUGGGGCUAAUACCGGAUAGGAGCUCCUGCUGCAUGGUGGGGGUUGGAAAGUUUCGGCGGUUGGGGAUGGACUCGCGGCUUAUCAGCUUGUUGGUGGGGUAGUGGCUUACCAAGGCUUUGACGGGUAGCCGGCCUGAGAGGGUGACCGGCCACAUUGGGACUGAGAUACGGCCCAG
RNAcentral lists this ribosomal RNA (236 nucleotides) under uncultured Actinomycetales bacterium. Its description in RNAcentral is "partial 16S ribosomal RNA". It matches the Rfam family "Bacterial small subunit ribosomal RNA", at positions 97 to 334 of the family's 1533-position model. The record is from RNAcentral. Lineage: Bacteria; Bacillati; Actinomycetota; Actinomycetes; Actinomycetales.